UUGCUAAAACAGCAUAUAUACUAAAAUUGGAACGAUACAGAGAAGAUUAGCGUGGCCCCCACGUAAGGAUGACACGCCAAUUUGUGAAGCAUUUCAUAUUUAA
This is a small nuclear RNA of Suncus etruscus (white-toothed pygmy shrew), 103 nucleotides long. The record is from RefSeq and is a predicted model, not a curated record. NCBI's taxonomy places the organism in Eukaryota, Metazoa, Chordata, Mammalia, Eulipotyphla, Soricidae.